CCUACGGGCGGCAGCAGUGGGGAAUAUUGGACAAUGGGCGAAAGCCUGAUCCAGCCAUGCCGCGUGUGUGAAGAAGGCCUUCGGGUUGUAAAGCACUUUCAGUGGGGAAGAAAGCCUUGGGGCUAAUACCCUCGAGGAAGGACAUCACCCACAGAAGAAGCACCGGCUAACUCCGUGCCAGCAGCCGCGGUAAUACGGAGGGUGCGAGCGUUAAUCGGAAUUACUGGGCGUAAAGCGCGCGUAGGCGGUCUGAUAAGCCGGUUGUGAAAGCCCCGGGCUCAACCUGGGAACGGCAUCCGGAACUGUCAGGCUAGAGUGCAGGAGAGGAAGGUGGAAUUCCCGGUGUAGCGGUGAAAUGCGUAGAGAUCGGGAGGAAUACCAGUGGCGAAGGCGGCCUUCUGGACUGACACUGACGCUGAGGUGCGAAAGCGUGGGUAGCAAACAGGAUUAGAUACCCGAGUAGUC
Molecule: ribosomal RNA, 465 nt
Filed under: Vreelandella stevensii
Lineage: Bacteria; Pseudomonadati; Pseudomonadota; Gammaproteobacteria; Oceanospirillales; Halomonadaceae
Description: partial 16S ribosomal RNA
Rfam family: Bacterial small subunit ribosomal RNA
Source: RNAcentral